Triticum dicoccoides is the source of this 1037-nucleotide long non-coding RNA. RefSeq lists it as uncharacterized. The record is from RefSeq and is a predicted model, not a curated record. NCBI's taxonomy places the organism in Eukaryota, Viridiplantae, Streptophyta, Magnoliopsida, Poales, Poaceae. The transcript has 3 exons.
UUUGUAUUAUAAAUGCCAGGCUUUUGUCUGACCUUAGGCUCGUGACUAUCGUAAACAAUGUUCAGAUUCCACGACCGCAUCUCUCCUUGAACCAGGUGGCCAAAGGAGGACGCCAUCAAUGGGGUGGUGAGGACCAUUCAUAGCUUGAUGCGCUCGGCGGGGGAGAGCAGUGGACGGCCCACGGUCGCCGGUUGCGGGAGAAGGCGAGGAAGACGACCCGAGGUGAGCCGCCUCUGGUCCGACGUGCGAGGCGCCUACCGAGUGCCUCCCCAGCUUAACGGUCCCAAACCCAAGUCUUUGUUCAGCGAUUAGAUACAAAGUCUACUCAGCAGGAGGAGCAUGAACAAUUGUGAAGGAGGACCCCACUGCCUUGGACAAGGUGCGAGGGGCACUGUUCAGUAUCUUUAGGAAAUGAAGCCAUGAGGAUGCUACCUAUUCUUUCCUUUCAAGUAUCCGGCACUACGAGCUGCAUUAAUUAGCUUCACCUCAGAAUGUUGAAAGAGGAAGUAGGAGUUCUCAGAAAUGAUAAUCUACAAGCGCAGUACAUGUUCGUUGAUUAACGAAGACAAAGGCCCUACAACUCAACUGCUGUAACACCUAUUUUUACAAUGUAGGGUAUGAACUACUUGGCUUUAUUUUUAACUUAUGUACUGAUGUAGAAUGAUGGCUCCUGUUUCUUACUCGCUGGUAUGAGCUUUUUUGUUGUAUUUUGUAAAGCUCAUGUAUUUACUCAUCUAUGCUAACUAGCAUUGCUACAACAUUUGUAUACUCUAAUAAUUAUCCUUUCCUUGCCGUUGGCAGGGCCUUUUUUGUACAAUUGCUCAUACUUAUCAAUGUGGAAACUACAUAUAUUAGAGGCACUUAUUACAUUGCGUUGGAUGCAAGCUGUUGUUCUGCUAGCUGGUACCUCUUAUGAAAUACCAAGUGUUUGAUCAGCACCUGAGGCAUGUAGCUGGCGCGUUUUUUUUUUGAUUAGUUUGAAUUGCUUACAAAUAUGUCAUGUGGUAGCCAAGGUGUGCUUCCUAUCACAAUUUGAA